Molecule: long non-coding RNA, 1575 nt
Filed under: Podarcis lilfordi (Lilford's wall lizard)
Lineage: Eukaryota; Metazoa; Chordata; Lepidosauria; Squamata; Lacertidae
Source: RNAcentral
UUGUUUUACUGAAUAUUCACAGCAAUUUAUUUGCAGAAGAGUAAGUUCCCUCUGGCUUUUACCUUAUUCAGGGUUGAUCAAUGGCAAUUGCAGUUCCUCCAAGGUCAUGCCAUUCAGAAGUUUGCUAUUCCACUGAUGUCUACACAACAUGCACUCCAAUAGGCAAUGAAAAGGGGAUUGCCAGUCAGCUCCUAGGAGAUGAGGCUAUUGUUUUCAAUCUAUAGCCAUUGAGGCAGUUGCCAGUCUUGUAUUUUGUUAUGAGAGAAACCUGGAGAGGAGGGGAGACAAGGCAAUAAUUGCUUCAGGUCAUGGACAGCAGGUCAGACAACUAAGCACAGGUGAGGCCUGGCUCCUGCUGAAGGUGACAAAGUUGCCCAUCAACCAGAUAAAAAUACUUGGGCUGCUCCUGUGCCUUCAGCACCACCCUCAUAUUCAGGAAUUCUUCAGUGAUUUUUUUGAUAUUAUAAAAAUAAUCUGAUGGUCUGCAGAACAGGUUGCUGAAAUGGAGCACACGCUAGUAAAAAGGUGGCAGUCUUCUUAGGCAAAUCCCAAGGAAUUCAAAGGCUGCAACCCAAGCUUCCCAGCUUUGCAUUUAACAAGGCACAUCCACCAAGAUAGGUUGCCAUCUUACGCCUGCACCUUCCCAAGUCCCAUCCAUUGGUAGGCAGAGGGGGGCGGGCUGUGUGGGAAUGUUCAGGGAUGCAGGAGAGGAUAUAUUGUGAGAUUAUAUCCUUAUCCAACUUGUGCUAACAAGUUCCCAAAAUAUCAGCAGAGUUAAAGACAUUCCCCUUUUAAGUUCGCAACGGUAACGUGUGCACAGGUUCGCUAGAACCUCUAUAAUAAUUACUCUGGUAAUUUCCCCUUUGUUCCCUCUUAAAAUACAAGACAUGACACAGUCUUUAUAAAAGUAUAAAAGAGUUUACUCACAUUCUGUUCACAAUAUGAUCCCAGAAGGCAGACAGGCUUAAAAAGGUAAAUUACAUUUAGAAUCUAUCUUAUAGGAAGAUAGUCCCUUUCUGCUCUCUUGGCUGGGAGCCAAGAGGGCAUCCUUAGAUGUUGCUUCCUCGAAGGAAGAGGGCAGAGAGGCAAGAGAGCAAGAGAGAGAUGGCUGUGCUGCCCUGUGCUUUUAUCAUUACCUGCACAGGUGAGGCCACACCCACCUCUGGUCACAUGCGGAGGAAGUCUGUCCCAGGAAGUUUACCUGCUGGCUGGACAGACAUCCCUCCCCAUGUUUAAACAUGUACACUCUAGGAAUGUUGUAAUUGACUGCUCCUGUGUUUUACAUCCCACAGGCUGAAAUCCAGCUUGAUUCAGCAUCUGGGGAAGAGAAAUGGGUCAAAAAUAUUGGUAACUGCAUAUCAUUGAUUGAUUGAUUGAUUGAUUGAUUGAUUGCCAGCCCUUCACCCUAAGGUCCUAAUAAAACAUAAUACUAAAAACAAUUUAAAACCACAAAGCUAUUGUGGCUUCUGCAAUUAACACCAUCAAAUACCCACCAAAAUAAAACAAGGAAAUAAAAAAUAAAAUUGAGGGGUGGGGAACACAUGGAAUUUCAUCAUGUGUACUCCUCAAACCCCC